Molecule: long non-coding RNA, 90 nt
Organism: Myotis davidii
Lineage: Eukaryota; Metazoa; Chordata; Mammalia; Chiroptera; Vespertilionidae
Exons: 3
Source: RefSeq, a predicted model, not a curated record
GGCUGAUGCUGCUCUCUGAUGGAGAGACAGCGCCACGGACUACACGCCGAGUCUUUAUUUUAUAGCAGAUUCCCGGAGGCAAAGUCAGGG